RNAcentral lists this transfer RNA (68 nucleotides) under Rasbora pauciperforata (red-stripped rasbora). RNAcentral's name for it is "tRNA-Ser". Lineage: Eukaryota; Metazoa; Chordata; Actinopteri; Cypriniformes; Danionidae. The record is from RNAcentral.
GAGAAAGACAGAAAAGAAUAAGUUCUGCUAAAACUUAUUACCCAUGGUUAAAUUCCGUGGCUUCCUCG